RNAcentral lists this ribosomal RNA (244 nucleotides) under uncultured bacterium. Its description in RNAcentral is "partial 16S ribosomal RNA". It matches the Rfam family "Bacterial small subunit ribosomal RNA", at positions 127 to 353 of the family's 1533-position model. The record is from RNAcentral.
UGCCCUUCAGAGGGGGACAACAGUUGGAAACGACUGCUAAUACCGCAUACGAUCCAAUCUCGGCAUCGAGACUGGAUGAAAGGUGGCCUCUAUUUAUAAGCUAUCACUGAAGGAGGGGAUUGCGUCUGAUUAGCUAGUUGGAGGGGUAACGGCCCACCAAGGCGAUGAUCAGUAGCCGGUCUGAGAGGAUGAACGGCCACAUUGGGACUGAGACACGGCCCAGACUCCUACGGGAGGCAGCAUG